Molecule: transfer RNA, 73 nt
Filed under: bacterium
Lineage: Bacteria
Also listed under: 8 other names
Description: tRNA-Gly
Rfam family: tRNA
About the family: Transfer RNA (tRNA) molecules are approximately 80 nucleotides in length. Their secondary structure includes four short double-helical elements and three loops (D, anti-codon, and T loops). Further hydrogen bonds mediate the characteristic L-shaped molecular structure. tRNAs have two regions of fundamental functional importance: the anti-codon, which is responsible for specific mRNA codon recognition, and the 3' end, to which the tRNAs corresponding amino acid is attached (by aminoacyl-tRNA synthetases). tRNAs cope with the degeneracy of the genetic code in two manners: having more than one tRNA (with a specific anti-codon) for a particular amino acid; and 'wobble' base-pairing, i.e. permitting non-standard base-pairing at the 3rd anti-codon position.
Source: RNAcentral
GCGGAAGUAGCUCAGUUGGUAGAGCAUAACCUUGCCAAGGUUAGGGUCGCGAGUUCGAGUCUCGUCUUCCGCU